RNA transcript from Nerophis lumbriciformis (worm pipefish), 7084 nucleotides. It is a transcript of the gene named zinc finger CCCH-type containing 13, with no coding region annotated. Lineage: Eukaryota; Metazoa; Chordata; Actinopteri; Syngnathiformes; Syngnathidae. The record is from RefSeq and is a predicted model, not a curated record.
GUAGAUGCGACACCGAUUCAAUAGCUUGGAUCUGCAGAAUGUCCAAGAUCAGGCGGAAGGUUACAGUGGAGAAUUCAAAAACAAUAUCUGACAGCAGCAGCACCACCGCAUCCAGCAGCACCAGCAACCCUGCCGCCCCCUCCCGCCGACCCAGCGUGUUUGAACGACUCGGCCCGAGCACUGGGAGUAAUGCUGCUGAUAGUCACUGUAGAAAUUGGCUGAAGACCGGAAACUGCAGUUACGGCAACACCUGUCGCUACACACAUGGAACUCAACCACGAGGCAAAGGAUUUAACUUCAGCCGGUCAGCAGAGAGACCCACAGGUGAUCUGCGGGAGAGGAUGAAGAAUAAAAGACAGGAUAAUGACCCAGAAAGUGUGAAGCGUGAUUUGGACGAGCCCACAUCGCCCACAGGAAGAAAGAAAGAAUCCUCCAGAGGCCGACACAGAGAGAAGGAAGAUAUCAAAAUUACAAAGGAGCGUACCCCAGCCAGCGAAGAAGAAACCACAGAGUGGGAGACAACUCGUGAGGAUUCAGAUAUUGGCGACUAUGACUACGAGUUAUCCCUCGAGAUGAAACGUCAGAAGAUUCAACGUGAGCUGAUGAAACUGGAGCAGGAGAAUCUGGAGAAGAGAGAAGAGAUUGUCACCAAGAAAGACGAGACCGUCACCAAAACGAGAUCUACGGCCAUGCAAAAAGCCUCUCCUGAGCCGCUACCCUCGCGAGACUCCCCUACACCCAGGAAGUCAAGUGGCUCCCCGAAACACAAAAGCGGAGUCAAGGGGUCCGGAAAGAAAGAGAAGAAGGCAUUAGCAUCCUUGCCCAUCACAGAAAUUGCCAAGUACGAUUCUCCCAGGCAGGGGCGGGGUCAACAAGAUGAGGACACAGUGAUGACAUAUUCUUUUGUUUGCAUCAGAUCUUCAAAAGGAUCCCACAGUAAGAAGAAAGGGCCUCGCACCCCCAGUCCUCCCCCUCCAGUGCCUCUGGACAUCCCCGUGGUCGGAAAGAAGCACAAAGGCAAGCACAAAAACAAAGAGAAGGGAGAAGAGAAGCAGAAGGAGGGAAAAGACAGGGGGCGUGAUGCAGAAAAACAUAAAGGACAAACCAAAAAGGAAAAGCGCAGGGAUCGAUCAGACAGUUCCCAUAAGGCCAAGCGCUCGGUGACGUCAGAGGAGGGGUUUGAUAGCGUGUCGCCCUCCACCAGGAAGAAGUCUGUUUCACCCAAAGCGUCUUCACACAAAGUCCCUAUAAUGGCGUCGCCCCCUCGCAGAUCUCCAUCUCCUCAACUCCACCAGCGCACGCCCACGCCGCCCCACCGCCGCUCUCCUUCCUCCCGCUCCGACUCCUCCCCGCAGCGGCAUUCGUCCUCUCCUCGUCGCAGACGCUUGUCCUCCCCCGCCUACCACCGCAGCUCUGCAGUGGCGGCCUCGUCGCCGCCGAGGUCCCAGCGCUCGCGAUCUCCCGCCGCUUCCCACGACGCGGCAUCACCCCACCGACGCUCUGAUAGGUCAAGCCCCCGCCACUCGAGGGGUCGUGAGAGAAGCCGCGGCGACAGAGAGAGGAGUCCGCAUGGGCAGGAGCGAAGACGUGAGCAGAGAGAUGAGAGCCGAGGCAAGCGAGAGAAGGAUAAUAACCGCGAUGACAGGGACUACGACACAGAGCAGGCCUUGGCGCGGGACAGCCGUGACGACCGAGAUUCCAGGGAAGCCCGAGAGCGACGAGACGGUCGAGGACGGGACGCGACCAGAGAGCCUCGUGACCGCAGAGAUGCGAAGGAAACAAGAGAGAGCAGGACAGAAACACGCUCAAGUCGAGAGUCACUUGAACGUCGGGAUCGUGAGCGGGAACGUGAAAAAGAGAGGGACAGGGAGAGAGAGCGGGAAAAAGAAAGGGAAAGGUUGGAGACCCUCAGAAAGGAGGAAGCGGCCCAGGACGACAGGAGUUACGGGAGAUCUCAUGGACGUGAAGAAGGAGGUAGAGAAGGACGAACUGAGACCAGAAGUGAGAGAAACGGACGAGGGAGGGGACGUGAAAUACCUGACAAAGGCUCAAACAGGAACUCUCGGGGGUCUCAGCUGGACAGCGGUCAUGACAACUGGGAGUCUCGAAGCAGUGGCGCGCGUGAACGCAGUGCAGAGAGGAACACGGACCGCAAUGCCACGGAAAGAGUUACAGAGCGAGACCGCUACGAUGGAGACAAGAGAGGAGAGCAGGCCCGAGACUCUUCAUACGACAGGAGAGGCGGUCACAGUGAAAGAGACCGCAGAGACAAUCGUGACAGAGAUCAAAGGGCAGUUUCCCCAAACAGACACCAGAGAAGAUCGGAGGAGUCAGAGAGGGACGAGAGAAGGGACGAGCGCAGGACAGAUCGAGGCGAGGACAGACGGGACGAAAGGACCAGAGAUCGUGAGAGAGAGCGGGAACGGGAGAAAGACAGGGAGCGAGAGAGGGAAAAGGAGAGGGAGGCUGAGAGGGAGCGUGCCAGAGAGCGGGAAAGGGAGAGAGAGCGGGAGCGGGAAAGGGAGCGAGAGAGAGAGGAGCGAGAGCGAGAACGGGAGAGAGAGGAGCGAGAGAGGGAACGUGAGAGGGAGCGGAAGGAACGAGAACGGGAGAGGGAGCAACGGGAGCGUGAGAGGCAACGGGAAUGGGAGGAGCGAGAGAGGGGGAGGGAGGAAAGGCGGGACAGAAGAGAAGAUACCCGGGAUGACCGCGCCGUUCGAGAAACGCGGGACGAUCGCAAAACAAGUCGUAAGAGACACAGAUUGGAGAGCAGCCCGAGCCCCCGACCUUCACCCAAGCGAGUGACGCGUGACGUCAGCCCCGCAGACAGCGAUGGCUACAACAGCACAGAUGAGAAAAGUGAGCGUCCAAUUGGCCGAGGACAGGCCAAGCUCCACCCACAGCCCCUUCUCCCCAGCACCGUGUGUCCGCCUCCAAGUGACAGUGCAGAGAAGCAUCGCAUCCUGAGUCAGGUGGUGAGACCCCAGGAGCCCCUGUUGCGCUCCCCAUCGCGGACUGCCCCGCCUGAUGACAAGUCUGGCCACUGGAAGGAUGAGGAGCACAGAGGAGCUGCAGACAAAAGGGACGUGCGAAGUCGACACGAAGACCAAGAGGCCCGAGGCGAGUUCAGCAGAGCAGGUGACCGGCGGGGAGAUCAGUUGUCAGACGUGCACUCAGACGCUCGAAGCCGUGGCAGAGACGUGCGAGACCCCACACCACCUCCCGUUUCUGUGGCUCCUAGCGCUGAGGGUAAAGACAGAGAUGUUGCCGGGUCACAACCCCAAGAAGACAGCAAAAAGAAGACCAAAUCACUGAGGAAGGCCUUAAAGAAAGGGCGCAAAGAUGAAAGUGAGGUGGUUGCUGGCAAAGGUCUACCUGAGCCCCCGGCUAGCAUUACGGCAGUUGGGCCUCCAUCUCUACAGUCACCAAGGAAAGGAGCAAAGAAGAAAGUGCUUGAGCGAAAGAGGAAACGGUCGCAUGGAGGAGAUUCUGAUGUAUCUGAGGAGGACUCUUCAGUGCAACAACCCCAUAAUAAGAGGAAGAGAGUACCACGGACACCGCCUCCAUCAUUGAGACCAGGUCACCGUAGCACUGUAGCCAAUACUGAGCCCUCUCCACAGUCCAAAAUAGACAACUUCAGUGACUGGUCAGAUGAAGAGGUGUCAGAUCGAGGACAAUUGGACUCUGCGCUUGCUGAGCGAGUUCCAACCGAGCCUCUUCGGAGAGUUGGUGGCCCCAGGAUGGGCCGUGAAAGAGACAGAUGCAACCCCCCGACAAUCGCCCCUCUGCUUCUGCAGGAACCUCCAAUGAUUCUGCAGACGUUAACGCCUCAGCCCCUGAUGUCCCAGCCUCUUCUGCGUAAACCUCUCCCAGAGCAGACGCGCAGCAGCAGCAUGGGGAGCAACCAGAGCCGCACGUCUUCCAGGCGCCCGCGGUCGCCUUCCAAUGAGUCGGCCCACCGUGACGACCUCCAAGGACAGCGCUCCCGAAGGGGCCGCCUUCAAGGCAAUAGCGCACAUGACCGCGAACGGGAAAGAGAAAGGUUGGCAGUGAAUGACCCGCCUGGAACCGAGAGGAAAUCAAGAAUUGACCAGUUGAGGAGAGGCGAGCCAAGCCGCAGUACUUCAUCAGACCGCCAGGAUUCCCGCAGCCACAGUUCCAGGCGUAGCUCCCCCGACUCCGAGAGACAGGCCAGGCCCCAGUCUCGUGCCGGCUCCUAUGACAGUCGAGAGCGGGAACGGGACAGGGAGCAGUUUGAUCGUGAACGGGACCGAAAAGACGUCCGGCAACAGCAGCCAGGCCUGAUACUCCAGCAACCUCUUCAACAGCAGAGAGACUGGGACUCCGAAUCCAGGGACUGGCCCAGUAGGGGACGGGAGCCCCUACUCAUGCGUCCCGGCCGUGAACCUCUUCUGAGGGAGAGGGACGUCCGGGAGCGGGAACGCUUACUCCCUGAGGGACUCAUUCAGCAGCAUGAGCGAGAACGGGAGCGCGAGAGAGAACGUGACCGAAGCGACAGAGAAAGGGAGAGAUUGAUGAUGCUGGACUUGUCCUCCCACUCUGACUCCAGAGCUGCGGGGCGAGGUGACCUGAUAAGGCAAGACAGAGGUGACUAUGAACCUCUCCUGCCAAGAGAAGCCUUCAGUCCACCUGAACCUGAGAAACCAAUCAACAGUCAUCAUGUGGCGGGCGAGCAGCCAGAGAUGGAGCAAAUAGACAGCAUCGAUGGAGAGGAUGAUGGGAAAGAAGACGACAGCCAAUCAGUGGCAUCUGUUGGAGAAGAGUAUGAACCAAUCAGUGAUGAUGAGCUUGAUGAAAUUCUGGCUGACAGUCAGAAAAAGGAAGACCAGCAGGAUGAAGAGAAGAUUGCAGGCCCUCUGGAUGUCACUGAUGUGGACUGGUCUAGCCUGAUGCCCAGACAGAAACAGGAACCCAGAGCUGCCGGGGCAGCAUUGCUGCGUUUCACCCCAGGGGCUGUCCUUCUCAGGGCAGGGGUCUCCAAGAGACUCGCUGGGCCUCAACUCCUCGAGAAGGUCAAAGAAGUCUGUAAGGCAGAGCUGGAUGACCCUAAAGAUGUCGACAAGCUGUUCGAGCACGACCUCGGCGCCUUAAACAUGGCCGCCCUGAACAGACGUGUAGAAAGGGCAGGUCUACUCAGCAACUUGGGACCCUGCUGCAAGGCUCUGUGUGCCCGCAGGGACUUUGCCAUCCGCAGGCAGCUGUUAAAAAAUGACAAGGGCCUCACCAAACAGUAUCCUGUGAACCCUGUGGUGGACAGUGAGCUGCUGCAAAUGGGCAUGCGUCUUUUUAGGAAAACCGUGGCUGGACAGAUGUCUGCUCCAAUAAGGUCAGACAGUGGCUCGGAUCCGGCUGCUGAACCGAGCUUGCCAACACCGCCAGUUGCGGCACAGCCAAAAGUUUGCGUGUCCUGAGAUGAAGAAAGAGGUUUUAGGAGGGAAACGCAUGAACAUAAUUGCUUGUGAGCCCCAACUUCUCCCUAACUUUCUCGUAUCAUCACAGACACCCGUUUUUUUAGUAGGAAAUAAACACAGAGAUGUUGUGAAUCAUUAUUUACGUUUAAAAGGUUUUGCACGUUUUCUGUGUAAUACUGGACCUUCCAGCUCAGAGGAAGGCUUGUCAUUAACCUUUAAAAAAUACAUUUACAAGCUUUUUAAAGCUUAUUUAGAUUUUUAUUGUCAGUAAUUUGCCUUAAGUCAGUGUCAUAUUUUCGUACAUUUCUUACAGAAAGUGGCUUCUUACUUGUAGAAAACAUUAGAUCCAUUGUCAAAAUAAUUGUAAUAGCGUUGUAAUAGAUGACAUGUUUUGUCUUUGCAACUUUUAUUUGGCAUUACAAACAUUACUUUUCAGUAACAAUAUAAUGUAACUGAUCACACAAUCUGCAGCCAAAAUAAAUCUUAAACCCAUUCAAAAUGAUUUAUUUUCAGAGAUGUUUUUUAUAACAAUUUUGUUUCAUCUUGUCUAUGAGGCAUCUUGUUUAGGUGUGCAUCACCACUAGUUUACCUUUUUACGCCCUGGUCUUGCUCUGUAUGAAAGUUCAGCCUUCAAGUGUGACAUAUGUGACAUCUGACAAGUUACUCAAUUCUUGCGUGCAGGUGCAGUCCAGCUACUCAGACAUGUUUUGCCAGGAUGUGACUAAAUGUUGCUCGAAUUUCAGCACAGCUUCCUUUUCGGUUGUAAUUUCAAUGUUAAAUAGUAGGAUUUGCUUUGGCAGUACAGUAAGUCCAAGCUUUGAACUGAUGUCUGUGCUUAUACUGUAGAAUGCUGAGUACCAUAACUAUGGUGACACCAUAGCUGGAUAAGUGGACCCUGAAUUGGUGAACUAUUAGUCAAUGCUGCAGCUCAAAUGCAAUGGACCAGCUGCAUCAAUACUCCCUCUCAACUGUCUUAACAGAACAAUAACAAUGUGAACUUAAGUCCUGGAUUCCACACGAUGCAAUCUUGAAUUCAUUGACAUUGUAGACACUUCUCUUGUGAUACUAAACGUAUUUGUGUUGCAUUCCAAGCUUUCCAGUUUACUUUUGUUUAGUCAAUAUGGAAUUUGCACUAUUUAAUAAAAAACACGAUAAAUGAUCAGAGUAUUUACACCUUCCAAUUGACGGGUAAACUGAAUUUAUUGCAACUCUGUUCCUUGACAAUUAUAUAGAUAUUUUUCAAAUAAAAUGACCGCUUUUUGCAAAGGUUUUUUGGAUUUGCUAGACAAUAUUCACAUUGUGUGUGGUCAAAAGUUUAGUUUGUUAGACUUUAACAGCAGAAUUUACAGUACUGUUUAUUUUAUGAAUAAAAGAUACACCCUUAUACGUCAUAUGUACAGCAAAAUUUGUUGUCUGCAUUUUUUAGCCCAUCCUCAUGAGGUACAGUACAGCGCACAAAGAACGGAUCCGGGUUGGAGUGCAGGGGAGCUGAGUGACGCCUUUUUUUGUGAUUUUUUAUUUUAUUUUAAUUUUUUUAUUUCUGCAAUUUGUGCAUGCCGGGAACCGACCUAGGUCUAAUUGUUUGAGACGAACAUCUUACAAUGACGGACCUGUUUCCUUUACCCACAAUGCUCGCCGUUCUUACCGUCCUU